Acetothermia bacterium 64_32 is the source of this 333-nucleotide non-coding RNA. NCBI's taxonomy places the organism in Bacteria, Candidatus Bipolaricaulota. The record is from Rfam.
GGAGGGGGACAGGGAGCCGCGGGGGUUUUUACCCCUGAGGAAGGUCCGGACUCCGCAGGGCAGGCCGCUCGGGGAAACCCGAGAGGGGGCGACCCCUGGAAAGUGCCACAGAGAACAGACCGCCAGCGGCCCGGGAUUCCGGGUGCGGGCAAGGGUGAAACGGUGGGGUAAGGGCCCACCGCCGGGGCCGCGAGGCUCCCGGGCACGGCAAACCCCGGCCGGAGCAAGGCCAAAUAGGGGGGCGAUUGAGGGUGGCCCGCCCGAUGCCCCCGGGUAGGCCGCGUAGACGAAUGGCUCCCGAAAACAGAAUCCGGCCUAUGGCCCCCUCCCCCG